GGGGUAAUAAAAAGUGGACUUCUAAUCCACUAUAAAGCAAAUUUUGUUUAUACCCUU
RNAcentral lists this transfer RNA (57 nucleotides) under Curculionoidea sp. 9 KM-2017. Its description in RNAcentral is "tRNA-Ser". Lineage: Eukaryota; Metazoa; Arthropoda; Insecta; Coleoptera. The record is from RNAcentral.